AGUUCGUUUUCAUUUCAACGUGAACCCGCUAACUAUGAAGGAAAGCUGCAGGGCAGUUCUGAUCAAAGCUCCUAAAUAUUAAAGGGAGAAGAAGAAAAAAACCCCACAGCAGCUCGAGCACUGGGAUGAAAAAUGGGCAGAGGUUUCAACACCAAAAAGGCCAAAGCGGGAGGACACGCAGCGUGGAGCAGAGGAGAAGAAGGGAGCCGGGGAAUCCCUCUGCAUGACCCAGACUGAUGUAAAGGCUUGUGAAACUGAACGGCCGUGUCCUGCAGGAUAAUCCCACCCUACCUGUCGCCACCGCACCUGAACUUUCCCCUGACCCGUGCAGAGUUGAGUGGCAAAUCAGACAUCCAAGCAUCGACUUUGGUAGCAUUUAAAACUCCCCUUUAAUUCCUUAAUUCAACAACAUUCUAGCUCCUUGCCAUUUCCUAAAACUCUUUAAUUGAUCACGAUUUUAAAAAAAAAAUCAAAAUAACACAAAUGUUUCCAGAUGUAUUCCCUACAAAUCAAGCCUCCUUAUCUCUGUCAGCACGGAGAGGAGCUGCAGGCGCAGAGAGCCCCUGGAUGUCGGCCAGACGACUGGCCAUAUCUUCCCACAAUGUUGACACUCGGAGCUCUUAACAGCCAGGCUUGGGUUACCGAGCCUCUCAGCCGAAGAUAACUGCUGCAGCGAGGUUUACAUCGGCCAACAUCAAGACUAAUGCGAAAUUCAACGCCUCGAGCUGAGUGGAGCCAUCUCUAAUUAACCCCAGACAAACACUGCAACCAACGAAGACAGAAGAAGUGUUUGCUUGGAUGUGGUUGAAAUAAAGCAAGUUGGAUUUUCUUGUAA
This is a long non-coding RNA of Xiphophorus hellerii (green swordtail), 835 nucleotides long. RefSeq lists it as uncharacterized. Lineage: Eukaryota; Metazoa; Chordata; Actinopteri; Cyprinodontiformes; Poeciliidae. The record is from RefSeq and is a predicted model, not a curated record. The transcript is spliced from 2 exons.